RNAcentral lists this ribosomal RNA (460 nucleotides) under uncultured bacterium. RNAcentral describes it as "partial 16S ribosomal RNA". It matches the Rfam family "Bacterial small subunit ribosomal RNA", at positions 338 to 795 of the family's 1533-position model. The record is from RNAcentral.
CCUACGGGUGGCAGCAGUGAGGAAUAUUGGUCAAUGGGCUUACGCCUGAACCAGCCAAGUCGCGUGAGGGAAGACUGCCCUAUGGGUUGUAAACCUCUUUUGUCAGGGAGCAACGCCGGCUACGUGUAGCCGGACUGAGAGUACCUGAAGAAAAAGCAUCGGCUAACUCCGUGCCAGCAGCCGCGGUAAUACGGAGGAUGCGAGCGUUAUCCGGAUGUAUUGGGUUUAAAGGGUGCGUAGGCGGAAUGCCAAGUCAGCGGUAAAAGCGCGGGGCUCAACCUCGCUCCGCCGUUGAAACUGGCGUUCUUGAGUGGGCGAGAAGUAUGCGGAAUGCGUGGUGGAGCGGUGAAAUGCAUAGAUAUCACGCAGAACUCCGAUUGCGAAGGCAGCAUACCGGCGCCCAACUGACGCUGAAGCACGAAAGCGUGGGUAUCGAACAGGAUUAGAUACCCCAGUAGUC